CGGACUGUAGCUCAGUUGGUAGAGCAUCUCACUUUUAAUGAGGGGGUCGCGGGUCCGAGCCCCGCCAGUCCGACCA
Molecule: transfer RNA, 76 nt
Filed under: Verrucomicrobiota bacterium
Lineage: Bacteria; Pseudomonadati; Verrucomicrobiota
Description: Verrucomicrobia bacterium (gut metagenome) tRNA-Lys
Rfam family: tRNA
About the family: Transfer RNA (tRNA) molecules are approximately 80 nucleotides in length. Their secondary structure includes four short double-helical elements and three loops (D, anti-codon, and T loops). Further hydrogen bonds mediate the characteristic L-shaped molecular structure. tRNAs have two regions of fundamental functional importance: the anti-codon, which is responsible for specific mRNA codon recognition, and the 3' end, to which the tRNAs corresponding amino acid is attached (by aminoacyl-tRNA synthetases). tRNAs cope with the degeneracy of the genetic code in two manners: having more than one tRNA (with a specific anti-codon) for a particular amino acid; and 'wobble' base-pairing, i.e. permitting non-standard base-pairing at the 3rd anti-codon position.
Source: RNAcentral